CUGUCAGUUGUUCAUUUCGUUCAUACCUUAAUUGCUUAUGGAAUAUGGUUUAUUUUCUGGACGACCACUUCAAAUCUUGAUUCGUGAAUACAAGUAUUGCCUCCAACUAAUCUACAUGGAUCUUUAUAAUAGGAUUCUUCGUAAAUAGAAUGUUGAUUACAAGGUGCUGCAAUUCCAUCGUCAUGCCAUUCACAUGGUUUUGCCUAAUUCCCAUCCAAUGACGUCUUCAGUGUUGCUGAAUAGCUGAAAGGAAUGCAGGAUUGAAUUUUGAAGUCAAAAUUGUUGGCUCAUCUUCGUAGUUAUUAUAACUAAGCCACAUGAAUCGUAUCAACCCUACGAAAACCUUGCACUGCUCUUAAGAAGUCAACUGCUCCAGCUCACACAGGUUAUCUAUUCACUGUUAAGUCAUAAUCCAGAUACUGAAGCCCUCAUAGUUCCCAUUCUUUGCAGCCACUAUAUUGUGGUCAACAUCAGGUUGCAAUGACCAUCACAAGUUAAAAUUUAAGAUGAUCUAAGAUUCGUUGCUUUGAGUUUAAUCCUUUGCCGCUGUUCCAUACUGACUUGAUCCGUUGGUGAAACCGAUGAGAGAUUGCUGAAAUUCAAGACCGAUAAAUUGACAAAUUGUGUAGUUAGCUAAAUUAAAAGUGCAUUUCUGGGCUCCCUUCUUUUCUGUGGCCCCGUUUCCCUAACUAACCACUAACCAACG
RNAcentral lists this long non-coding RNA (706 nucleotides) under Daphnia pulex (common water flea). RNAcentral's name for it is "uncharacterized LOC124203766, transcript variant X2". The record is from RNAcentral. Lineage: Eukaryota; Metazoa; Arthropoda; Branchiopoda; Diplostraca; Daphniidae.